GUGAAUAUUCUCCUGGAUCUUUUUACUGCAGGCAUUCAGGACUGGAAUGGAACAGUAAUUCAUUGCAACAAGACCCAAAAACACACGGUGAGCAUUCGGGUAAGUCAAGUGGUCUAUCUCUCUCAAAACUGCCAUCUCUAAUUUCUUUUUCAGAAAGACUGGAGCAUCCUUUCCCAUACAUUUCAUCAAGUUUUGCAGUAUAAAGAUAUCUCUGAUGCUUGGGAGUCGCUGCUCUACUAGUAAUUGUAAUCCAGCUUGAAGUGCGCUCACAUUCUUGUCUUCAUCCAUCCCAGCUAACGUAGUUGCCAAAACUGACAUACAGCGGUUAUCCAGUUGAUUGAGCUUUUC
Molecule: long non-coding RNA, 348 nt
Filed under: Gallus gallus (chicken)
Lineage: Eukaryota; Metazoa; Chordata; Aves; Galliformes; Phasianidae
Source: RNAcentral